GUCCACGCCCUAAACGAUGUCGACUGGUUGUUGGGGGUUUGACACUCUCAGUAACGAAGCUAACGCGUGAAGUCGACCGCCUGGGGAGUACGGCCGCAAGGUUAAAACUCAAAGGAAUUGACGGGGACCCGCACAAGCGGUGGAUUAUGUGGAUUAAUUCGAUGCAACGCGAAAAACCUUACCUACCCUUGACAUGUCCUGGAGGCCCCAGAAAUGGGGCUGUGCCCGAAAGGGAACGGGAACACAGGUGCUGCAUGGCUGUCGU
RNAcentral lists this ribosomal RNA (265 nucleotides) under uncultured bacterium. RNAcentral describes it as "partial 16S ribosomal RNA". It matches the Rfam family "Bacterial small subunit ribosomal RNA", at positions 793 to 1055 of the family's 1533-position model. The record is from RNAcentral.